Long non-coding RNA from Bombus huntii, 4801 nucleotides. RefSeq lists it as uncharacterized. The record is from RefSeq and is a predicted model, not a curated record. The transcript is spliced from 3 exons. NCBI's taxonomy places the organism in Eukaryota, Metazoa, Arthropoda, Insecta, Hymenoptera, Apidae.
CGUAUAUUCUCCUGCAUACUGGCCCGCUCUUCGCGCACUCUCUCUCUUUCUUCCUCUGCGUCGAACCAAGCGGCAGAGAAGCGCGUUUCGUCUUCGUCGUUUGGCGAACACAUCGUACGCCACCCCUUGUGUAUCGCAUGGCAUUAUAACUAUCGGCUCUAUCGCGACGCCUGUGUCGAUACUCGUGAAUUAAGCACCUUGAUCCAUUAAGGAUCGGCGUACUCGUGUGUUCGGAGUUAACGGGUCUGUUUGGCAUUGUUUUAACGCCGCGGUGACCGUGUGCAGCGCCGUUAAUACGACGGCUGAUAACGCGUUAACGGCAUUACGUCAUCGUUUACCGAAUACAAGCAAACGGUUCGCAUAUCAAUCAGACGUAAACCGAGUGAUUGUUUCCACCGUUCGAUCACCAACACGUCGAUUCCACGAUUUGUAGCCGUAAUUCCGACCUCGUCAUUUCCAUGGGAAUUAAUUAACAGCGAAAGGAGAUGGAAUUUAACCGACUGGUAUUGUGGUCAUUUAAUCACGUGGACAGACCAAUGUUGAGGAGUUUACAAAAGGUGCAAGCCCAGCUACAUGAUCCUAACCGAGAUUUCGAGUCUGUAUCUUCGAUUUUUUCAUCGAGACGCUGCAACCUAUAAACUUCGAUACUUGAUCGAUUUUACGACUCGGCUGUAUCGCGGAUGCUACUGUACGAGCGGAGCUCGAAAGUUCCACGCUGCGCUUGUGUUCUUUGCUCGCGGAGAAAUGUACGGGCACGCGUACAUUUUCAUCUGUCUAUAGGUGGAACCGCGGGCCGAGAGAGAACGAGAGAGAAAGCGCCCGGAAGAGCACGGGAGAGAGUCGUAUAUACGUAUAUAUACAUCUGUAUAUACAUGCAGGUAUACAUCGCCAUCGUUCCGUGCUUUCAUUCGUUCGCGGAAAGAAGUAAAGAGCUUUGUCGCCGCGGCAUCAAAAGCUUGAAUGACGCGUCGAUGAAAGAAGGAAGUAUCGGUACAAGAAACUGCACAGUGAAUACUGAAAAGAAUGUAGUCACGGGAAGAAGGAGGACAAGGGGCAGGGGGGAGCAGGAACGGCAGAAGGAGUUAAAAAGGAAAGGAAAAGAUAGCGAAAACGGGAAAGCAAAAAAGGAGGGUACCGGAGGAGUAUUGCGGGUAGAAAACCUUGCAGGGAAAGACCGAUAAAAGUUUCUGCCUUGAGACGGAUAUUGGAAAUACCUUCUUCCUCCGAUCGACUACCGCGAUUUAUUAAUUAAUUCAUUCGCCUUUCGCGCCAAAUCGACCAAAUAGGAAAAAAUUCCAGCAACUUGGCGAACGGCCAUCGAAAAUGAUAAUAUCGCAGCGUUGUUUCGUUGUUUCCGCUAAACUCUCGUAACAACUCGUGAGAUCACGACCGCGGUUAGGAUUUGGUAAAACGAAUCGAUGGAUUACAUCAGUGCCAGGCCACGGUCGAGUUCCAAUAGCUAAGUCAAGCAUGCCGGAUUUCGUUAAACUAUUACGAGUAUUCAAAGCGUGAGCCUUGUUGCGUAUACAGGGUGUCCCGUAUAGCUGGCCCGUGGAAUCACGACGAAAUGACGUGAAGCUGGGAGAGCAGAGGAGAGGAGAGAAGACUGAAAAGCCGUACCCGCGGCAGCGUAUGCAGAUAAUCGGUACAAAGCCUUUCGUCGAAUGACAAAGGAGAGCACUGGCCAGCCUCGUGGUUCUCUUGCAUCUAUAUGCCAACGCAUGCAUACACGCUCGCAUUCAGCCGGUAUUAUUAUACUGGAUGGCAGCAUGCUGCUAGGAAAGGCCCAGUUCCUAACGGCUUUAUUCUACUCGUUAAAACGAGAUAAAGCUUCCGCGGUGAUUCUUAUGAUUUUGUCGUGGAUUCAAGGAAACAUCUAUGACAUCGCGAGGAACUCCGCGUAAUACUUUUCUACUUCUACGCUACCGUUAUGGACGUGGUUGAGUAGCUUUAAUUAUUUACCAACGAGUACUGCCACCGACGCAAUUGUCAGAAUCGUCAGAACGGCGAAGACAGGAAAGGAAACUGUCGAGGUUAUUAGAUGUACAGACAGAGGAACGCGUGGAUAAAUUGUAAAGUAGGAAAUAUAUUUUAAUACAGGAGUGUAAGUACAAGUAGGGAUAUAAUUUGAGCUGAUCCAGAUCCACACGCUAGCAGUGUUACCCUAUAACUGAAAGUCCCGAAGCCAUCGUCGCCUGUCUAGUGUCUAUGGUCUGCCUUCGUCUCAGUCUACUGUCUAUACGCUGUCGAUGGCUUCAGUGCUCGAGAAAACUAAAAAGACCAGAUGUAGAGUUUCCUUAGAAGUGGUGACCACUUCAACGGAAACAUUAUUCGGAAUAAAUGAACUUCUGAUGGAAAAUGCUUAAUUGCAGCAACAAGUAUCGUUAAUAAGCAUUAUCUUUUAUCCUGCAAUUUGUUAAUCAAAUGGAGGAACAGAUACGAGGUAAAAAAAAAAAUUGUGCGCUUGGCAAGAUACUGCGAAAUGCUUAGAAACGUUGGAAAUGCAGCCAGUGACCGCGGUGCAGCGUACGCUUUCUCGAUCGCGUCGACAACGCGUCAGAAAGCAACAUCUUAUUUCGAUAAAAGUCGCGGAAGUCUAUUAAUCACUGGAGCGCAUUGUGACAUUCAACCGAGCGGCAUUCAGGGUUUCAAUAUUAUCGAUACUCAACAGCGGGGCCAGCAUCCGCGUCUAUUGAAAGAGAGUUUAUCAAUAGAGUGCAGGACACUCUUGCUGUAUCCGCCUCCAAAGCGUUCUAAGCUCAGCGACGUACCUACGAUCUUUCGGAAACGAUGACCGUCGUCAGGAAAAAAAUCUUUUUACGCAGGCUAAACGCGACUGGCAGUUCGACACGGGAACGCUGUAUUCGAUGAUUUCCAAUUAAUAUAUCGUAUAAUAGACAGCCUUGAAAGCUUUUAUCUCUCCGGAGCGGUUUCACCAUCCAAGCACGUACGCAAAAGGAGGAUGAAACUAAUCUGGGUUAGUAUGGUUAAGGGGAUUUUCGAGAAAGCCACAAGUGGUCGAGACGGAUACUAUUCUUCCUUAUGUGAAACUUCGAUUAAGCUUAUACGUCGGAAAUAAUUCAUGUUAAUGCCGACAAGCGGCUAACUUUCAGGGAGUGUCAACGUUCAUGGUCAGACACACCUAUUGCCCCUCCUAUGGAAGAUCGAUAACGAAAGACAGGCUUCGGCUACUUUAAGGAGGUUCGAGACGUCAUGGUCAGACAUUGCCUUCAAUUCGAAUAGACACGUUAGAAAGAAUACAUUUCGAAUAGUCUCACCUUCGUCUCAAGGAGAAUGAUUACACCACGGUCGGUCGUUGUUUCUCCUGGAAUUGCUCUUACUUUUUAAGAAGAUAGAAUACGUCGUAUUCAGAUAUUCAGAUAAUUCAGACAUUGUAAUGAUGCUUCAACGGAUGCAGAAAAACUCACGUUCGUGUACUCUUACUUUCUGAUCGAUCUUAAUUAUCAGCGGUACUUUCAAGCUCGUCAAAGAUAUCGUAUGCAGCGUGAAAGUCUCCCUGCAUUGGCGUUUGAAACGAAUCCUCCGUUAAUCCGGCCAGCAUAGAAAAAAACACGAAAAGCCCGACGAAUUCGCGGAAUGCACGGUUUCCUGACCAACAGACGAUUCUUUCCACGGUCCAGUUAGACGAUACAGAAUUAAGCUCGAAAAGUACUCGGCGAGUACCGGGACGAUGGAAUACCGGGCCUAUAGAGCUAUAAACAGCGACAAAAGGAUACCGAGUGGGCGACGAGCAUUGAAUGUACGAGAAAGGAUUGUAUGCCAGCGAACGAUGCUGACGAUGGUAGCGACGUUGCUGUUGCUUUUGGCAUACGUGUGUCACGUACGGUAUGUCUGUCUGCGGCCUGCUUUUCGGUGUAUCCGCGCUGCCGGCAGAAAAGAGGAGUAUUUUAGCUCGCGUCCAUAUGAACGUAGGGACGAAACAAUGUAGCUUUUGUGCGAGAAAGGAACGGAAAAGCAAAGCCAAAGAGAGAGCCUAAGAGCGAUUGAAAUGCUCGGCCGUCUGUCUCUUGUUCUCCACCGCCUCCCUUCGUCGUCCCACCCUCUUUAUCUAUUCUCUUUUCCUUUCUCUGCGUCUUUGCCGCUUCUGUCUUUUUACCACUCAGCCAUCUACGUCGUGCUUCUUCCUUCGCUUCAUCUUUGCUUUGAUCGCAACACUGCCAAACUGCGAGUGAUCGCAAACGCGUACACCUUCUUCUCGGACAACGAUCAUCCAUUCCGAGUCUCUUCGUUCUUUAUACACGAUUCGCCUAACUCGUAAACCUUGACCUUUUGCAGUUAGCUGUAAGAUGACAGUCGUGUAUACCAUAUAAAUUUUUUUUCUUUUUUUUUUAAUGUAGCACACGAUAAGAUGAAAUAAAAUGACAUUUCUCGUGUACAAGGUCACGAAACAACUAUCGAAUUGAGAACGAUUCGUUACUAACCCGCAAAGCCGAAGACGACAAAGAGAUUCUUUUUUUUGGUCGAACCUCGAAGAGAAGCAAAGAUGUCAGAAUGAGAAAGUAACGACGCGCGGAGCGAAGACGCGGUUGGCAAUAGAAGGGUGGUAUGUGCAAGAAGGGCAAGUAUUGGUAGACACAGAUGUGAGGGGUGGUUGCAGGUUGAUAGUCAAGACUGCCUUCAGAUUCCAGAGUGAAGCAUUGUGUCCCGAACGCGCAUUGUCCUCCCGUCACCGGCAACUCGACAAUGCCGAGUCCGUAAGUUAGUAACCCUACCGUAAAAACUUAUCUCCACCCCAAACCAUCGACCUCCAGCCUCCAUGAUUCCGUUCGAUUUCCAACCA